Molecule: ribosomal RNA, 483 nt
Filed under: uncultured bacterium
Lineage: Bacteria
Description: partial 16S ribosomal RNA
Rfam family: Bacterial small subunit ribosomal RNA
Source: RNAcentral
AUUGAACGCUGGCGGCAUGCCUUACACAUGCAAGUCGAACGGCAGCACGGACUUCGGUCUGGUGGCGAGUGGCGAACGGGUGAGUAAUGUAUCGGAACGUACCUUUCAGUGGGGGAUAACGUAGCGAAAGUUACGCUAAUACCGCAUAUUCUGUGAGCAGGAAAGCAGGGGAUCGAAAGGCCUUGCGCUGAUUGAGCGGCCGAUAUCAGAUUAGCUAGUUGGUGGGGUAAAGGCCUACCAAGGCGACGAUCUGUAGCGGGUCUGAGAGGAUGAUCCGCCACACUGGAACUGAGACACGGUCCAGACUCCUACGGGAGGCAGCAGUGGGGAAUUUUGGACAAUGGGGGCAACCCUGAUCCAGCCAUGCCGCGUGAGUGAAGAAGGCCUUCGGGUUGUAAAGCUCUUUCGGCCGGGAAGAAAUCGCAUAGGCUAAUACCCUGUGUGGAUGACGGUACCGGAAUAAGAAGCACCGGCUAACUACGU